Brachypodium distachyon (stiff brome) is the source of this 136-nucleotide non-coding RNA. NCBI's taxonomy places the organism in Eukaryota, Viridiplantae, Streptophyta, Magnoliopsida, Poales, Poaceae. The record is from Rfam.
UAUGUACUCCUUCCAUCCAACAAAGGAUGUCUUAAGUUUGACUAAAUUUAAAUGCAUCUAUACACUAAAUCAUGUUUAGAUAUAUCAAAAUUUUGACAAACUUGAGACAUCUUUUGUUGGACGGAGAGAGUAUGAG